RNAcentral lists this long non-coding RNA (2779 nucleotides) under Homo sapiens (human). RNAcentral describes it as "HSALNT0365759". The record is from RNAcentral. Lineage: Eukaryota; Metazoa; Chordata; Mammalia; Primates; Hominidae.
GUCCCCACUGUCUCUCCUGGACUGUGUUGAUUCUUAACCAUAUGCCUCUGUCCCCACAGCUCUGCAUAUCUGGAAUGCCCACUUCUCCACCUGUCCAGUCAUAUAUUUAAUUCAGACUCUUGGCUUCCAUCAUGAAACGUUCCUCAAAUUCUCUGAGCCCUUGCCUCCCCAACAUGAACUCUCUUCACAGUUAGAAAAGAAAUAAAAAACAAACUCCAGAACUUUCAAACAUAAGAGGAAUGUAAGUUUCCAGAUUCAAGAAUACACCGAAUGCCCAGCAAGAUGGAUUGGGGGAAACCUACAUUAAAGAACAACACCGUGAUUUAUGAAAACACCAAGCUUAAAGAAGAAAUCCUAAAAAGUUUCUAGAGAAAGGAAACAAAAGAUCAGAAAUGAGCAUGGCUUUAGAUUUCUCAACAGCAACCUUGAGAAUUAGGUGACAAUGGUGUAUGCCUUCAAAGUUCUAAGGAAAAUGAUUUCCACCCAGAAUUCUAUGCCUUCAAGGCCUCCAGCAUGGUACCAUACAGAUGAGAACUUAAUGAAGAAGGAUGCUUCUGAGUAAGAUUUAGUCAUCUCCUUGAAGAUACUUUUCUCCUUUGGAAAAGGAAGAAUCAAACUUUCCUGAACUUCUCAGGGAGAACAUGGUGGUUGACUUUGUUUCUUCUGUCAAAGGACAUCAUUAUAGUACCAAGGUGACAUCGAGGAGGUUUUAACUCUCCCAAAAAGUUGCACCAGAGGAUUUGGGGAGGUGUAGGAUGUGACAGCCAGCCCAGAAGCAGGGCUAGUAAUUAUAAAAUGGGUGACGAUGGAAAAAUUGCUCUCUUCUUCGGGGUUACUUGCCCAUCAAAGAACAGCAAGGACUGGGCAUGUGAAAUGCCAAUGGUUUGGCUAAUCAACACGCCACAGCUUAGCUGGAGUCACUGUACUUGAAUGUGGUUUUGUUUUUAAUGCUGUGUUCUUGUGGGCAUGGAAAGAGUUACAGCCAACUGCCCCAGGUAUGGUAACUAGAGGCGGUGGUGGAAAUGUAAAUGUAAGGACCCUUUGUCUUCUCCCCUCCAGUAGUAAAGGGGACGAAAGAGAGUGGAGAAGGAUUGCACUCUUCUGGUGGACUUUCUCCUGUGAUGCACAGAAAUGCACGGAUAACGUUAAAAAUAUUUUAAAUUGUAUUUAUUUAUAUAUUUUAGAGAUGGGGUCUUGCUAUGUUGCCCAGGCUGGUCUCAAACUCCUGACCUCAAGUGAUCCUCUUGCCUUGGCUUCCGUGGUACCUACCUGUAAUCCAAGCUAUGAUCGCUUGAACCCAGGCAUUUGAGAUGAGACUGGGCAACACAGUGAGACCCCCAUCUCUAAAAAAGUAUCGUCUUGUUUUGUGUGACCUGGCCAUCAACACAUAUUUACAAAAAAGAGAUAUCUCUCUUUUAUUAUCAUAAAGCAUAGACUGAAUUUUAGAUAGGUUUUGAAUCUCUCUGUGCCUGAAUUUCUCUCAAAAUUAAUAGUGCCUCAUAUUUGAUAAAGCACUAAGUUUUCUUUUGAAAGGUGCACAGAAAACUCUGCAUUGCCUAAAUUAUAAUUUUCUCAACUAUUUGACCCAACCUAUCACUGUUGUAGUAUUCUUUAACAGAGCAUUCUGUUACCAUGAGUAAGGGAGUUGCUGCUUUUUUUUUUUUUUAAAUCAAUCAAGAACUACAGAUAAGUACUUUUAAAAUCAGACCAUGACUGGGGAAAGCAGGAGUCAACGAGUCAGUUUGAGUCUGUUAUCAGCUCUGCCUGAGACUGGCCUUUUAUAUCACUCUGAGGAGUAAUGCUGUUUGUUUUCAGCAUGAAAUACAUAAGAGAAAAAAUUAAGUAGGGAACAGGAGAAUAAUAUUUGGAUAGGGUAGUUUUAUUAUUUUGUCUGACACAUUAUGUCCCCUAGCCCUCAGUAUAUCCAGGGAUCAUCUAUGCUUAAAGUUAAAUACAAGAUAACUUCCCAAGCCAAGUACAAGUGAUUUUAAAAAAUAAUAAAAUGCCUUAUAGGAUUACCUACUACAGUUCUUAAGUUGCCCAGGAAACAUCACAUCACUGCAUGCAGUGUCAGAGACAUCGGUAAAUCCUCCGCCAACAAGUAUUUUGAAUAUAGCAGAAAAACACAGAUGUUUUAGACCUUCUGAGAUGCAUUAAGUUCUGGAAACUGGAAGCCAUAAAAGACAAAAUCGUGGGAGGGGAAUUGCUGGGAGCACCCUGGGAAAGCAGCCACCCUGGAGUUGAGUGACCUCUCUUUGAUCUCUAGCUUUCCCAAGUCACUUUCCCAUGCAUUUCCUCAACACUGGUUUCAGUUCUUUAGAUCUAAUAAAAGCCUUUGGGGUUGGGAGCAUCACUGAGUAGAGUGCUGAUUCAGGCCAAGCUUGGAGGGAGGAGUGGAGCAUUCAAUGUGUUUACAGUAAAGUGUGUGUGUGUGUGUGUGUGUGUGUGUGUGUGUGCGCGCUUAUGAGUAAUAGCAACUUCUCACCACUGUCACAGCCACCAAUGGGAGAUUUAGCUUCCUCCAAGUCACCUCAAUUAAACAUACGCUCUAAAUAAAGCAGCAUGCUUGCUGGAGACAGAGCUUCAAAAAGUCCCCUAGAUCUCUUUCUCCUUCCAAACAUUUUGCUGCCCUGAAGCAUGUCAUAUAUAGAAAUGUUAUAGUUGCCUCUUUGUUCAUUCAUUCUUUCAAGGAUCUCCACAUUAUAUUGUUUGAUAAGAAGUGGAAUUAAUACUUUACACAAAUGCUUGCAUUUCCGUGCUAUUCCUUUCACUUCCUGAU